Molecule: ribosomal RNA, 421 nt
Filed under: uncultured eukaryote
Lineage: Eukaryota
Description: SSU rRNA
Rfam family: Eukaryotic small subunit ribosomal RNA
Source: RNAcentral
CAAUAGCGUAUAUUAAAGUUGUUGCGGUUAAAAGCUCGUAGUUGGAUUUCUGCCGAGGACGACCGGUCCGCCCUCUGGGUGAGUAUCUGGUUCGACCUGAGCAUCUUCUUGGGAAUCGUGUCUGCACUUGACUGUGUGGCACGGGUUCCAGGACUUUUACUUUGAGGAAAUUAGAGUGUUUCAAGCAGGCGUCCGCCUUGAAUACGUUAGCAUGGAAUAAUGCGACAGGACCUCGGUCCAUUUUGUUGGUUUCUUGGGUUGAGGUAAUGAUUAACAGGGAUGGUUGGGGGCGAUUCGUAUUUAACUGUCAGAGGUGAAAUUCUUGGAUUUGUUAAAGACGAACUACUGCGAAAGCAUUUGCCAAGGAUGUUUUCAUUGAUCAAGAACGAAAGUUAGGGGAUCGAAGACGAUCAGAUACCAU